Long non-coding RNA from Hipposideros armiger (great roundleaf bat), 768 nucleotides. RefSeq lists it as uncharacterized. NCBI's taxonomy places the organism in Eukaryota, Metazoa, Chordata, Mammalia, Chiroptera, Hipposideridae. The transcript is spliced from 5 exons. The record is from RefSeq and is a predicted model, not a curated record.
CAGACUGUUCCUGAAAGCGCUUGGGGGGAGACGGAAUCUUUCCUUUGGGGUGGCAUCUUGCCAAUAAUGGAGCAUUUAAACGAGAGGAAAACAACCCGAAAUGCCGCCUUGAAUCUAUUUUCUGCAACCGCCUAGCUUCAUCAGUGCUGGGCUUGAACCUAUCUGUGCAUAUUGUGGAAAUUGGUAGGGCAGACACCAGAAGUCAAUUGCAAAAGGAACUGCUGAACUUCUGAGAACUCAUCUUAACGGAGGAGGGAGUCAAGCAGACAACCGAAGCUUAACGACUGCUUCAGUGGAUGACGAAUCCUUGGAACUCCUUCGUCCUUCAUUCUCAGUGAUGUCACGUGUCCUCAACGUUUCAUUCUGAUGAUGACGAUUUUCAAUCCUGCAGCAAGGAUAAAACAAGAGUACAGUGAAGACCCACCACAUAGGUCCAGAAAACAUUUCUUCAUGGUUUUUUAUUGUCGAAUGCAUCACAUCUGGCUAAUUUCACGUCGCCCAGUAGGACAAAAUAGGUCUUGGAGCUAAGUAUCGGCAGUAUACCUCGGUAACCUACAACCUGAAGAUGUCCUGCGUCCUCCGCAAGUGAGAGUCACCCAAAAUCAGCACGUUAUCACCAUUCUGGCGGACUCAUCUCACCGAUCCUAUGAAAUUACUGUGACAACCAGUGGAAGUGAUUUGCUAUUCUGGCCGCCCUACUGGACCGAUGUCCUGGCUGCCGAACUCUGGGACAACCAUUGUAUAACUUGUCUUUUAACCUUUUAAGGU